AUUGAACGCUGGCGGCAUGCCUUACACAUGCAAGUCGAACGGCAGCACGGGAGCAAUCCUGGUGGCGAGUGGCGAACGGGUGAGUAAUAUAUCGGAACGUGCCCAGUCGUGGGGAUAACGUAGCGAAAGCUACGCUAAUACCGCAUACGAUCUAUGGAUGAAAGCGGGGGAUCGCAAGACCUCGCGCGAUUGGAGCGGCCGAUAUCAGAUUAGGUAGUUGGUGAGGUAAAGGCUCACCAAGCCGACGAUCUGUAGCUGGUCUGAGAGGACGACCAGCCACACUGGGACUGAGACACGGCCCAGACUCCUACGGGAGGCAGCAGUGGGGAAUAUUGGACAAUGGGCGCAAGCCUGAUCCAGCAAUGCCGCGUGCAGGAUGAAGGCCUCGG
Molecule: ribosomal RNA, 389 nt
Filed under: uncultured bacterium
Lineage: Bacteria
Description: bacterial SSU rRNA
Rfam family: Bacterial small subunit ribosomal RNA
Source: RNAcentral